UACGUAGGGCGCAAGCGUUGUCCGGAAUUAUUGGGCGUAAAGAGCUCGUAGGCGGCUUGUCACGUCGGGUGUGAAAUCCCGGGGCUUAACCCCGGGUCUGCAUUCGAUACGGGCUGGCUAGAGUGUGGUAGGGGAGAUCGGAAUUCCUGGUGUAGCGGUGAAAUGCGCAGAUAUCAGGAGGAACACCGGUGGCGAAGGCGGAUCUCUGGGCCAUUACUGACGCUGAGGAGCGAAAGCGUGGGGAGCGAACAGG
Molecule: ribosomal RNA, 253 nt
Filed under: uncultured bacterium
Lineage: Bacteria
Description: partial 16S ribosomal RNA
Rfam family: Bacterial small subunit ribosomal RNA
Source: RNAcentral